This 716-nucleotide unclassified non-coding RNA is filed under the name Hevea brasiliensis (rubber tree). Lineage: Eukaryota; Viridiplantae; Streptophyta; Magnoliopsida; Malpighiales; Euphorbiaceae. The record is from RNAcentral.
GAAUAUUGCUGCCAGGUGGUAUUUUAGCUGCUAGAUAUUUGAAACAUAUCAAGGGAGAUGGGUGGUUUCAGAUUCAUGUUUAUCUACAGUAUUCCGGAUUAUCGAUUGUCUUCCUUGGUUUUCUCUUUGCUGUAGCCGAACUUCGCGGUUUGAGUUUCAGCUCCCUUCAUGUUAAGUUUGGAAUGCUGGCCAUAGUUCUUGCUAUUGCACAACCCAUUAAUGCAUACCUACGACCUAAGAAACCUGGAGCAGGAGAGGAGGUUUCUUCAAACCGGCGUGUUUGGGAGUAUAUCCAUGUCAUUGUGGGCAGGGGUGCCAUUGUUGUCGGCAUUGCAGCUCUUAUAACAGGAAUGAAGCAUCUAGGAGAGAGGUACGGUGAUGAAGAUGUUCAUAGGCUGAUGUGGGCUCUAAUUCUGUGGAUUCUUGUUGGCGUUUUGACAGUGAUGUAUCUGGAGUAUCGUGAGAGGAAGAAAAGGCGAGAUAGAAUAUCCGGCAGAAGCAAUUGGGUUCUGGGUAGUGGUGAGGAGGAGGACACUGACCUCCUCAGUCCAAGCCAGGCAAUGGCAGAGAAAGACGCAGCUUCGGCUGACUGCAUGGAAGUUCAGCUAGAACCAAUGGGCAGAUAAAGAUUCACAUGUUCUGUAAAUCUGUUAUCACAAAUUUUGGGGUUGUUUCUAGUCAACAGUUGCCUGUUUUGAUACAAGGAUUCUUGAUGA